This 926-nucleotide ribosomal RNA is filed under the name uncultured bacterium. RNAcentral's name for it is "bacterial SSU rRNA". It matches the Rfam family "Bacterial small subunit ribosomal RNA", at positions 28 to 921 of the family's 1533-position model. The record is from RNAcentral.
GACGAACGCUGGCGGCGUGCCUAAUACAUGCAAGUCGAACGAAGCUUUCUUUCACCGAAUGCUUGCAUUCACCGAAAGAAGCUUAGUGGCGAACGGGUGAGUAACACGUAGGCAACCUGCCCAAAAGAGGGGGAUAACACUUGGAAACAGGUGCUAAUACCGCAUAACCAUGAACACCGCAUGAUGUUCAUGUAAAAGACGGCUUUUGCUGUCACUUUUGGAUGGGCCUGCGGCGUAUUAACUUGUUGGUGGGGUAACGGCCUACCAAGGUGAUGAUACGUAGCCGAACUGAGAGGUUGAUCGGCCACAUUGGGACUGAGACACGGCCCAAACUCCUACGGGAGGCAGCAGUAGGGAAUCUUCCACAAUGGACGAAAGUCUGAUGGAGCAACGCCGCGUGAAUGAAGAAGGCCUUCGGGUCGUAAAAUUCUGUUGUCAGAGAAGAACGUGCGUGAGAGUAACUGUUCACGUAUUGACGGUAUCUGACCAGAAAGCCACGGCUAACUACGUGCCAGCAGCCGCGGUAAUACGUAGGUGGCGAGCGUUGUCCGGAUUUAUUGGGCGUAAAGGGAACGCAGGCGGUCUUUUAAGUCUGAUGUGAAAGCCUUCGGCUUAACCGAAGUAGUGCAUUGGAAACUGGAAGACUUGAGUGCAGAAGAGGAGAGUGGAACUCCAUGUGUAGCGGUGAAAUGCGUAGAUAUAUGGAAGAACACCAGUGGCGAAAGCGGCUCUCUGGUCUGUAACUGACGCUGAGGUUCGAAAGCGUGGGUAGCAAACAGGAUUAGAUACCCUGGUAGUCCACGCCGUAAACGAUGAGUGCUAAGUGUUGGAGGGUUUCCGCCCUUCAGUGCUGCAGCUAACGCAUUAAGCACUCCGCCUGGGGAGUACGGUCGCAAGACUGAAACUCAAAGGAAUUGACGGAANGG